This 292-nucleotide ribosomal RNA is filed under the name uncultured bacterium. RNAcentral's name for it is "partial 16S ribosomal RNA". The record is from RNAcentral.
GGACUACAGGGGUUUCUAAUCCUGUUUGCUCCCCACGCUUUCGCGCCUCAGCGUCAGUAUUUGUCCAGACAGUCGCCUUCGCCACUGAUGUUCCUUCCGAUCUCUACGCAUUUCACCGCUACACCGGAAAUUCCACUGUCCUCUACAAUACUCCAGCCCAUCAGUUUAAGAUGCAGUUCCCAGGUUAAGCCCGGGUAUUUCACAUCUCACUUGAUAAACCGCCUACGCGCCCUUUACGCCCAGUAAUUCCGAUUAACGCUCGCACCCUCUGUAUUACCGCGGCUGCUGGCAC